Molecule: ribosomal RNA, 482 nt
Filed under: uncultured bacterium
Lineage: Bacteria
Description: partial 16S ribosomal RNA
Rfam family: Bacterial small subunit ribosomal RNA
Source: RNAcentral
AUUGAACGCUGGCGGCAUGCCUUACACAUGCAAGUCGAACGGUAACAGGUCUUCGGAUGCUGGCGAGUGGCGAACGGGUGAGUAAUACAUCGGAACGUGCCCGAUCGUGGGGGAUAACGAGGCGAAAGCUUUGCUAAUACCGCAUACGAUCUACGGAUGAAAGCGGGGGAUCUUCGGACCUCGCGCGGACGGAGCGGCCGAUGGCAGAUUAGGUAGUUGGUGGGAUAAAAGCUUACCAAGCCGACGAUCUGUAGCUGGUCUGAGAGGAUGAUCAGCCACACUGGGACUGAGACACGGCCCAGACUCCUACGGGAGGCAGCAGUGGGGAAUUUUGGACAAUAGGCGAAAGCCUGAUCCAGCCAUGCCGCGUGCAGGAUGAAGGCCUUCGGGUUGUAAACUGCUUUUGUACGGAACGAAAAGCCUCUUUCUAAUAAAGAGGGGUCAUGACGGUACCGUAAGAAUAAGCACCGGCUAACUACGUG